GGAGUUAGCCGGUGCUUCUUCUGUGAGUGAUGUCCUUCCUGCCGGCUAUUAACCCGCAGGCCUUCUUCCUCACUGAAAGUGCUUUACAACCCGAAGGCCUUCUUCACACACGCGGCAUGGCUGGAUCAGGGUUGCCCCCAUUGUCCAAUAUUCCCCACUGCUGCCUCCCGUAGGAGUCUGGGCCGUGUCUCAGUCCCAGUGUGGCUGAUCAUCCUCUCAGACCAGCUACGGAUCGUCGCCUUGGUGAGCCGUUACCUCACCAACCAGCUAAUCCGACAUAGGCUCAUCCGAUAGCGCGAGGCCCGAAGGUCCCCCGNUUUCCCCCGUAGGGCGUAUGCGGUAUUAGCCUGGGUUUCCCCAGGUUAUCCCCCACUACCGGGCAGAUUCCUAUGCAUUACUCACCCGUCCGCCGCUCGCCACCAGGGAGCAAGCUCCCCGUGCUGCCGCUCGACUUGCAUGUGUAGCGUCGCCGCCGACGCGUCAUCUGAGCGAGAGUACAACUACUCGA
This 508-nucleotide ribosomal RNA is filed under the name uncultured bacterium. RNAcentral describes it as "partial 16S ribosomal RNA". The record is from RNAcentral.